Molecule: ribosomal RNA, 955 nt
Filed under: Erioscyphella abnormis
Lineage: Eukaryota; Fungi; Ascomycota; Leotiomycetes; Helotiales; Lachnaceae
Description: SSU rRNA
Rfam family: Bacterial small subunit ribosomal RNA (bases 194-955)
Source: RNAcentral
GCACUUGGGGGAUGUAUAGCUUCGGCUAAUUAUACUUGGCUGUUUAAUUUAUUGUAUUUAAAUUAUACGCUUUUCCUGCGUAAUAGUAGUAAGAGGGUGUAAUUAUAUAUAAUAAAUUAUUCAUUUUAACAAAUGACUAUGGUCAUUCGCCUUACCUGUCGGUAAGCGAGGUUAAUUAAUUUGUCAUUUCUAUAUGAGUAAGAGGAUAAUAAUCCUCAUGGACAAGUAUAAAAUCGAUUUUAUCGAAUAAAGUUCUAGAUAGAAUAAUGAUUAUGACAAUUUUCUAUCUAUGUGUCUUGACCAAAUUACGUGCCAGCAGUCGCGGUAAUACGUAGAAGACUAGUGUUAUUCAUCUUUAUUAGGUUUAAAGGGUACCUAGACGGUUUAAUUAGUCUACAAUAAGAUACGAUUUUACUAGAGUUAUAUAUGAGGAGGUGAGUAUUUAUGGAGUAGAGUUGAAAUUCAGUCAUACCAUGAGGACUGGUAACGGCGAAAGCAACCUCUUAUCUAAUAACUGACGUUGAGGGACGAAGGCUCGGGUAACGAACAGGAUUAGAUACCCUAAUAGUCCAAGCAGAGAAUUAUGAAUGCCAUAGAUUAGAAAUUUUUAGUCUAUAAAUGAAAGUGUAAGCAUUUCACCUCAAGAGUAAUGUGGCAACGCAGGAACUGAAAUCAUUAGACCGUUUCUGAAACCAGUAGUGAAGUAUGUUAUUUAAUUCGUAAGCACGCGAAAAACCUUACCACAACUUGAAUAUUAUUUUAUUUUCUAUUUUCUAUAUAACUAUAUGGAUAUAUAGUAUUAUAGGUGAAGUAUUACAAGCGUUGCAUGGCUGUCUUCAGUUAAUGUCGUGAGAUAUAGGUUAAUUCCUUUAAAUUAACGGAAACCCUUGCUUUAUUUGCUAUAUAACUAAAGCUGAACAUCCAGCACAACGGAUUUGAUAAUAGGACCAAGACA